AUUGAACGCUGGCGGCAGGCUUAACACAUGCAAGUCGAGCGGAGAGAGGUAGCUUGCUACUGAUCUUAGCGGCGGACGGGUGAGUAAUGCUUAGGAAUCUGCCUAUUAGUGGGGGACAACAUUUCGAAAGGAAUGCUGAUACCGCAUACGUCCUACGGGAGAAAGCAGGGGAUCUUCGGACCUUGCGCUAAUAGAUGAGCCUAAGUCGGAUUAGCUAGUUGGUGGGGUAAAGGCCUACCAAGGCGACGAUCUGUAGCGGGUCUGAGAGGAUGAUCCGCCACACUGGGACUGAGACACGGCCCUGACUCCUACGGGAGGCAGCAGUGGGGAAUAUUGGACAAUGGGCGCAAGCCUGAUCCAGCCAUGCCGCGUGUGUGAAGAAGGCCUUAUGGUUGUAAAGCACUUUAAGCGAGGAGGAGGCUACUUUAGUUAAUACCUAGAGAUAGUGGACGUUACUCGCAGAAUAAGCACCGGCUAACUCUGUGCCAGCAGCCGCGGUAAUACAGAGGGUGCAAGCGUUAAUCGGAUUUACUGGGCGUAAAGCGCGCGUAGGCGGCUAAUUAAGUCAAAUGUGAAAUCCCCGAGCUUAACUUGGGAAUUGCAUUCGAUACUGGUUAGCUAGAGUGUGGGAGAGGAUGGUAGAAUUCCAGGUGUAGCGGUGAAAUGCGUAGAGAUCUGGAGGAAUACCGAUGGCGAAGGCAGCCAUCUGGCCUAACACUGACGCUGAGGUGCGAAAGCAUGGGGAGCAAACAGGAUUAGAUACCCUGGUAGUCCAUGCCGUAAACGAUGUCUACUAGCCGUUGGGGCCUUUGAGGCUUUAGUGGCGCAGCUAACGCGAUAAGUAGACCGCCUGGGGAGUACGGUCGCAAGACUAAAACUCAAAUGAAUUGACGGGGGCCCGCACAAGCGGUGGAGCAUGUGGUUUAAUUCGAUGCAACGCGAAGAACCUUACCUGGCCUUGACAUAGUAAGAACUUUCCAGAGAUGGAUUGGUGCCUUCGGGAACUUACAUACAGGUGCUGCAUGGCUGUCGUCAGCUCGUGUCGUGAGAUGUUGGGUUAAGUCCCGCAACGAGCGCAACCCUUUUCCUUAUUUGCCAGCGAGUAAUGUCGGGAACUUUAAGGAUACUGCCAGUGACAAACUGGAGGAAGGCGGGGACGACGUCAAGUCAUCAUGGCCCUUACGGCCAGGGCUACACACGUGCUACAAUGGUCGGUACAAAGGGUUGCUACCUAGCGAUAGGAUGCUAAUCUCAAAAAGCCGAUCGUAGUCCGGAUUGGAGUCUGCAACUCGACUCCAUGAAGUCGGAAUCGCUAGUAAUCGCGGAUCAGAAUGCCGCGGUGAAUACGUUCCCGGGCCUUGUACACACCGCCCGUCACACCAUGGGAGUUUGUUGCACCAGAAGUAGCUAGCCUAACUGCAAAGAGGGCGGUUACCACGGUGUGGCCGAUGACUGGGGUG
This 1460-nucleotide ribosomal RNA is filed under the name Acinetobacter sp. 4081. RNAcentral describes it as "bacterial SSU rRNA". It matches the Rfam family "Bacterial small subunit ribosomal RNA". The record is from RNAcentral. Lineage: Bacteria; Pseudomonadati; Pseudomonadota; Gammaproteobacteria; Moraxellales; Moraxellaceae.